ACUCAGCAAUAAAAAGGAAUGGACUACAGAUAAAUGUGUCAUACAUGCAGAACCAUUAUGCUGAGUGAAAAAAAGCUAGACCCCAAAGUGUAAAUGCAAACUAAGGUGAAAAUGCAAAAAUAGUGACAAAAAAAAAAAACUUGGGCCUGAGAGAUGGAUUGCCAAGAGAGAAAAUAAAAUCUUUGAGGAGAAAAUAUUCUAUAUAUUGAUUGGAGUUAUAUUUUCACUGGUAUAUGCAUCCAUCAGAACUCGUCAGGUUAUACCUUUAAAAUGAAUGCACACUGAGGCAAAUUAUAGCUCAAUAAAUUGAUUUCCACAAAAAGCAUUGUUAAGGAAAUGCAAUAUAGGAUACAGGCACUGAAAGAAGCAAAGCAAGCAUGGCAACACAAAGAAAAGAGAGGAAUUAAGUAGUGAGAAGCCAGGAAGUAUAGGAAGUUGAGAUAAGAAAGUAGAGUUUUUCUUUCAGAAAAAAAAAAAAAAUUUUUUUUUAAGUUGAAUUAGGGCUCUUAGUUAAACCUCAUUGAAGUUUAAGCCAAUAGGGUGACUUAUUCCUCAUAGCAUACAAAAAAAAAAGGGGGGGGGAUUGGACAAUUGGAGCCUGAGACUCAAGGCUGUCCAUUUUGAUCCUUUGGCUAGAGCCAGCAAGCAGGCUUUUCUAGGGUAUGUGUGUGUAUGUGUGUGUGUGAGAGAGAGAUGUGUUGCAAUUAAUUUUUUUCCUACAUAGAUAGCCAGUUGUUUUAGCACCAUUCGAUGGAAACAUUUUCUCUCCUUAUUGAACUUCUUUGGUUGUCUAAGAUUUUCUAUAAAUAUGAUAGUGUCACUGCAAAGAUACUUUUACUCCUUUCUUUGCAGUUUUAUGCCUUUUGUUUCUUUUUCUUGUCUUAUUACACUGUUGGAGACCUCUACUAGGAGGGAUGAAAGUGGACAUAUUUGUCCUGAUCUUAAUCUUAGGGGAAGAGUUCCCAACGUGGCUCAGCGGUUAACGAAUCCGACUAGUAUCCAUGAGGAUGCUGGUUCGAUCCCUGGCCUUGCUUGGUGGGUUAAGGAUCUGGCACUGCCAUGAGCUGUGGUGUAGGUCACAGAUGCAGCUCGGAUCAUGCAUUGCUGUUCCUACAUCUAUAGAGAUGAUCACAUGAUUUUUCUUUUUUAUUCUGUAAAUUGUAGCAAUUUGUAUUCAAAUGUUAAACUAACAUUGGGUUCCUGGAAUAAACAUCAUUUGAUCAUGAUAAUUAUUAUUUUUCUCUGUUCCUGGGCUCAAUUUGCUAAAAUUUUGUUAAGGACUUUUAUAUCGAUGUUCUUUUUUUUUUUUCCUUUUCUUCUUUGGCCACCCCAUGGCAUAUGAAGUUCUUGGGCCAGGGAUCAGAUCCGAGUCUCAGUUGCAACCUAAGCCAUAGCUGUGGCACCACUAGAUCCUUAACCCACUUUUCUGGGCCGGGGAUCAAACCUAUGUCCCAACACUCCCAAGAUGCCUCCAAUCCCAUUGCACCACAAGGUGAACGCCCAUAUCUGUGUUCUUGAUAAUAUUGGUCAGCAGUUUGGGGGGGGGUGUUUUAAUGUCUUUUGGUUUUGAUAUGAGUAACUCUGGUCGCAUAAAACAAGUUUGUAAAUGUUUCCUCCAUUUCCCUUCUAUUUUCUAAAAAGCGUUGUGUAGGAUUAGUAUUAUUUCCUCUUUAAAUAUUUGAGAUAAUUCAUCGAUGAAAUUUUUGUAUGUAUAUGUAAAACCCCUUGUUUGUUUCCCUUCUUUCAGGAGUUAAAGCCCUCUCUGACUGUUGUCCAGCGUCUAUUUUAUGUACUUUACCUAGUUUUGUGGUUGUUUAUAGUGAGAGGGCUGUGUGGUGCCAGUUGCUCCAUCAUGGCUAGGGCAAAAGUAUCUGGUAAUAAGCUUGUUUAAGUUUAUGUUAUUAUUAGAGUAAUUCUAAAUUCAGUAGAUUCAGUAUUAUCUUGGUAUUGAACCCAUCUCAGUAGAUUGUCCUAAUUGCAUUUCUACCGGGUCUACCCCCAAAUUAAAUAUGAAUGUAAUUAGUAUAAUUCAAUGUACAAUUUCAUUGUAAUGACUAGUACAAUGAAAGGCAGCUUAGACUCGAUAAUUAACGUUGCUUUUACUCAUUUCAACAUUGAUAUGCUUUCUUGUAUGGAAUACAAAGUAGCAGCGUUAUAGGUAGGGUUACUGUGUGUAACUCUGAUAUGCUUCAGGACAGUGUUUGCAUUCCAUCUAUUAUGCUUACUGAUAGGAGAAAAGUUUGACAGCCAUUAUUUCUGAAACAUCUUAUAUGUUUCAGAAAGGUUAUUGAUUAAAUGUGCUAAACCAUUUUAAUAAAAAAAAAAAAAGCAUGUAUAAUUCUGGUAUGUUUGCCGAAAUGAGAUGUUUCCCUGUAGGAUGUAAAAGACCUUUGCUAUCACAACUCCUGGGUGGCUUUGCCCCUGCUGAUUUUCAUCAUGGGAUUGGACAAUGUAGAAAACAAAUCAUUUUCCAAAAUGAUACAUAAUAUCUAGGUCAAGUGGAUUUGUUAGGCUCAUAUCUCGCUCCAUAAGGAACCAUGCUGGAAACCCAGUACUUUGCUUAUAAGGCCGAGUCUGGGCCUAAAUCUACUUUCUUAGACAAUCAAAUUACUUCACCUUCCUUUGUGGAAUUAAGUGGGAGUAUUAAAUAAUAAAAUAAAAAUUAAAACCUACUGGGCAGAUGUGAUUUUUGCUUUCACUUAGAGUAGGUAAAAUAGUUUUAGCCUAUGCUCCCUUAAAGCACUCCACCCUUUGAAGAGCCCCAAGACCCAAAGUCUGCAUCCCACUUCUGGGCCCAAAGGGAGGAAUCAUCAGAGCUGGGGGUUACCAUGGCUAUCCCAGUGUGAACUUUAAGCUGGAAUAGAUUAUAAAACAAAACCAAACCCUGGCGUUACAGGUUGUUAUGGUGACACAUGCUAUGUAAAGGUAAUGUUACAUCCUAUGAAAAAUCUUCAAUAAUAUUGCAACAUGAAGAACAUGUACGAACACUCUAACUGGGGAAACUUUUUUAAAAAAAA
RNAcentral lists this long non-coding RNA (3017 nucleotides) under Sus scrofa (pig). Its description in RNAcentral is "lncRNA (ENSSSCG00000055063.1)". The record is from RNAcentral. Lineage: Eukaryota; Metazoa; Chordata; Mammalia; Artiodactyla; Suidae.